Myripristis murdjan (pinecone soldierfish) is the source of this 530-nucleotide long non-coding RNA. RefSeq lists it as uncharacterized. The record is from RefSeq and is a predicted model, not a curated record. The transcript has 3 exons. Lineage: Eukaryota; Metazoa; Chordata; Actinopteri; Holocentriformes; Holocentridae.
GAAAAAAGGUUGCUGAUUUGUUCAGACAUGUUAUCCAAGAUGACAUGCAGCAGGGGCAACUGAAGUGGGCCUCAAGUAAAAUAUACACAGUCUACAUGUGCCAAGGGCCCAAAUAGAGUUGUUGUGUUUAUCUACAGGGGGAGAAAAGAGGGCCACAGAACUCCACAGCACUGUCUGGGAACUGGGACAACCAAUACAAUAUUCACCAUACACUCUGCUGUGUCCAGUCCUGGACCUGAUGAAAAGUGCUGAGAGUGACACAAGGCCAAUCCUGUUCUGUUGGGCUCCCUAUUGGCCAGAUUUUGACCAGCACUCCUGACCCUUUUCAGUGGGAGAUGGAGCCAGGUGUUUGGCAGCAGCAGAGUGUUCAGGUGUAACUGUGCCGGUGACGGGACAUGACGAGCAGCCGCAGAUGAAGGAUGAGGCGUGGAGGAUUUUGGGUAGAGGGGCACCCCACGACCUGCUCCCUCAAGAAUACCCCCACUGAUCCAGAGGAGGCAAAACUUUCUUUUGAAUCAGUUCUUGCUAGA